RNAcentral lists this transfer RNA (87 nucleotides) under Parasaccharibacter apium. RNAcentral's name for it is "tRNA-Leu-CAG". It matches the Rfam family "tRNA". Rfam says of the family: Transfer RNA (tRNA) molecules are approximately 80 nucleotides in length. Their secondary structure includes four short double-helical elements and three loops (D, anti-codon, and T loops). Lineage: Bacteria; Pseudomonadati; Pseudomonadota; Alphaproteobacteria; Acetobacterales; Acetobacteraceae. RNAcentral also lists the same sequence under 21 other names. The record is from RNAcentral.
GCCCAGAUGGCGGAAUUGGUAGACGCGCAGGCUUCAGGUGCCUGUGUCCGCAAGGACGUGGAAGUUCGAGUCUUCUUCUGGGCACCA